UCUUUUUUUCUAUUUUCUGCCCUCUUCAUUUUUUUUUUUCAUAUUUUUCCGUUUUCUCCUCCUUUUUGCCUAUUUUUUGCCGUUUCUCUGCUCUAUUUUCUGCUUUUCUGGGCUGCGUGAAGCAGGCGUGCCCUCGGCGGUUUUGGGGAAAAACGGCCGCAAUUUGGGUUAAUUCGGGGUGGAGCCACUCCUCAGCCUCCUCCUCAAAUUCAUUACAAU
This 219-nucleotide long non-coding RNA is filed under the name Anas platyrhynchos platyrhynchos (common mallard). RNAcentral describes it as "lncRNA (ENSAPLG00000029507.1)". Lineage: Eukaryota; Metazoa; Chordata; Aves; Anseriformes; Anatidae. The record is from RNAcentral.